GCUGGGCGCAGUGGCGCGCACCCAUAAUCCCAGCACCUAGGGAGGCUGAGGCAGGAGCAUCACGAGUUCAAAGCCAGCCUUAGCAACAGUGAGGCACUAAGCAACUCAGUGAAGCACUAAGCAACUCAGUGAAACCCUGUCUCUA
This 145-nucleotide small RNA is filed under the name Marmota monax (woodchuck). Lineage: Eukaryota; Metazoa; Chordata; Mammalia; Rodentia; Sciuridae. The record is from RNAcentral.